GACGAACGCUGGCGGCGUGCCUAACACAUGCAAGUCGAACGGAGAUAUGAUUUCGGUUGUAUCUUAGUGGCGAACGGGUGAGUAACGCGUGAGCAACCUGACCCUUCAGAGGGGGAUAACACCCGGAAACGAGUGCUAAUACCGCAUAAGACCACACCGUGACAUCGCGGAGAGGUCAAAGGAGCAAUCCGCUGAGGGAGGGGCUCGCGUCCCAUUAGAUAGAUGGCGGGGUAACGGCCCACCAUGUCGACGAUGGGUAGCCGAGCUGAGAGGCUGAUCGGCCACACUGGAACUGAGACACGGUCCAGACUCCUACGGGAGGCAGCAGUGGGGAAUAUUGGGCAAUGGGCGAAAGCCUGACCCAGCAACGCCGCGUGAGGGAAGAA
Molecule: ribosomal RNA, 386 nt
Filed under: uncultured bacterium
Lineage: Bacteria
Description: bacterial SSU rRNA
Rfam family: Bacterial small subunit ribosomal RNA
Source: RNAcentral